GAAGGGCGGGUCCGGAGUUCGUCCUACCUCCGGUGCUGGUUCCACUCAACCUGAGCAUCCACUCGGGCCCCAGAGCCACCUGCCCACGCUCUUGAGCUUAGACCCAGGUUCUUUCCCGUAAAAGAAAAGUUCUUUCACAGACUUUUCCCGUAAAAGGUCAGUCAGUAAAUCUUCGCGGCUUUUCCCUCUAGAUGGUCUGUCUCAGCUACGCGGAUCUGCUGUGUAGUCUGAAAGCUGUCGUGGACGAUAUAUAAACAGACAAGGGUGCAUAAGGAGCACGCCGUUCCCCAAGAACUUCCUGCAGGUGGUGAAGAAGAUCCUGUCGCGGCUCUUCCGCGUGUUCGUGCACGUCUACAUCCACCACUUCGACCGCAUCGCGCAGCUGGGCUCGGAGGCGCACGUCAACACCUGCUAUAAGCACUUCUACUACUUUGUCACGGAGUUUGGCCUCAUCGACACCAAGGAGCUGGAGCCGCUGAAGGAAAUGACUGCACGGAUGUGCCACUGAGAGCCCUCGGCCCCGUUGUCACCGAGUCCGCGCCCGGGGGACAGUCCCACUUGAGGGCCACGUCUCCAGAACAGGGACCCGUAUUUUCUAGCCCAGCAAAUUCUGUGCUGUCUGGGCUGCGUCCUCUCUCGAUCCCAAGGUGGCAGCACCCGUGGGUCUGAGCCUCCGUGAGCCCCAGUCUCCUCGGCCAGCACGGGGGAGAUAGAUAGAACUUGAACUCUGUGAUUCCAUGUGUUGUGAGCAACCGGGAAAACCCACUUCGUUUGCAAACCUCUUGCACCUGCCCGGAGGCUGGCCCCACUCGGGUCUGUCUCUUGCACCGGCCCGCCUGCUCGGCCGUGGGUGACCAGGCCCCCGUCAGCGAGGCUGAGACCCCGCAGCGCUUCCCGCUGCGGCCCAGGCCAGGUUCCGAGUGGUACGAGCGCUCGGCUUGCGUCCUCCCCGCGUCCUCCCCCACGGCCACUUCCGUCCCGCGGUACCUCUGGGACCCUUAGGCUCCUGUGCCAGCUUCCUGAGCCCACGCCCACAUCCCAGGUGUCCUGGAGCCCCUUCAUGUCGCAUAAAAGAUUGAAUUCGUCUAGCUGCAUUUACGACCACCGUGAGAUGUUACCAGAAGAAAAAAGGUUUUUUUACCUACAAGGAGCGAUCCCCCUCCUCUCUAGAAAAAUGUCCCCUUUCCGUCGUGAAUAGCAGUACGAUUCUGCCAGGGAACGCCUCUCCCCCGCUUUGGGACCUUUGAGUUUCGCCGAAUGUUUAGCCGGACUUGGCCUUGCUUCACACGCCUGCCAACCUCCUAUCGAAACCCUUUGUCAGCGUGGCCCUCCGUGGCUCCGGGACCAAAUCCCAGCACCGCCCCCCCCGCAGAAGCUUGGGGGCCCCGCCCGCUCGCGCCCCACCCGCGCACAGCAUCCUCCGUGGCCUUCCGCUGUGGCGGUCCUACCCGCCUGGACCACACCAGCUCCGAGUACCUCUGGGCGUCUGGGACGCUCACGGGGAGACGGGGCCGCCACCCGACACCAACACCCAACAAGUGCAAUUAACAACCUGGGCCUCGGUCCUUCCAGAAGUUGCCGGGGUCCCGCUCCCGUAGUCCUGGGAAGACUGCAGGGAACCGCCCGGUCGCGUGUAGCUCCUCUUAAAUGCAGAACCACGACCAAAUGCCGUAACCACUGUGCCACUCAGGUCACCAGCCAGGUUGGAAAGGUGGCGGGGCUGGAGGGGGGCUCCCCUGCCCACCCUGCCGUGCCCGUGGGCGUUCCCACAGGACCAUCAGAAUAAAUCAUGUGUCUCCUUAGCUG
This is a long non-coding RNA of Physeter macrocephalus (sperm whale), 1806 nucleotides long. RefSeq lists it as uncharacterized. Lineage: Eukaryota; Metazoa; Chordata; Mammalia; Artiodactyla; Physeteridae. The record is from RefSeq and is a predicted model, not a curated record. The transcript is spliced from 3 exons.